Molecule: long non-coding RNA, 817 nt
Organism: Homo sapiens (human)
Lineage: Eukaryota; Metazoa; Chordata; Mammalia; Primates; Hominidae
Source: Ensembl
GUAGUUCUUUCCUUUGUCUGAGCUCAGCGGAGACCGCCGCCGAGACUACGACUCCCAGCAGCUCCGCGUUCCCCCUUUCCUCAAAAGAAAAAGAUCUACCUCGAGGUGUUUCAGAUUCAGGAUAAACAAGAUAGACAAGCCUUGUUCCUGCCCUUAAGAAGCCCAGGACGAGGAAUACAGACAAAUAACACAUUAUUGAAAUGCCCUGAUAAGUGCUUUUCAUAGAUAAUACUAUGGAAUUACAGAGGAGGGGCACUUAAUCCAGACUGGGAGGGGCAUAAAAGAGGAAUGCACUACUUCCCAUAACAAGAAGUUCUACAUUGGGACCACACCACUCCAGGAUUGAUUCAUUCAAUGGCUCAUAAAUCUGCCAUCCUCAGGACCCAGUGAUGUCCAAGGACUGAAAAGGAUUGUGUGUCUCUACUUAUUAGCUUGAGAAACCUUGCCAGAGGUCCUUGGACGCUUUCUACCUAUUUGCCCAAAUUAGAUAUAUCCCUGGCAAGGUGAAUGAGUGCCUUAGAUCAGUCCCAAUUCCCUUCUGUAGGCCUGAAGCUAGAGAGACUUAGCAGGAAGAUGGAACUUACCCAAAAGUAGAGCUCUGCCAGCAUGGGAAAAAGGAAAAGUGCCUGCAACAGGAAAAACAACAAAGAGAGAGAGGUGGAGAGGAACACGCCAAAGAAAGAGAGAGAGCCCACACUAUCCUAAGCUCCUGAAUGCACUGUGACAUCCAGGUGUCCUGGGGAAGACAUAAACACAUCAUACAGCACCCACAGGAACUUCAAGAGACUGGAGUUAAUAAAGAGAUUAAAGAGAUUAA